GCGGGAAUAGCUCAGUUGGUAGAGCACGACCUUGCCAAGGUCGGGGUCGCGAGUUCGAGUCUCGUUUACCGCU
Molecule: transfer RNA, 73 nt
Filed under: Marinilabiliales bacterium
Lineage: Bacteria; Pseudomonadati; Bacteroidota; Bacteroidia; Marinilabiliales
Description: tRNA-Gly
Rfam family: tRNA
About the family: Transfer RNA (tRNA) molecules are approximately 80 nucleotides in length. Their secondary structure includes four short double-helical elements and three loops (D, anti-codon, and T loops). Further hydrogen bonds mediate the characteristic L-shaped molecular structure. tRNAs have two regions of fundamental functional importance: the anti-codon, which is responsible for specific mRNA codon recognition, and the 3' end, to which the tRNAs corresponding amino acid is attached (by aminoacyl-tRNA synthetases). tRNAs cope with the degeneracy of the genetic code in two manners: having more than one tRNA (with a specific anti-codon) for a particular amino acid; and 'wobble' base-pairing, i.e. permitting non-standard base-pairing at the 3rd anti-codon position.
Source: RNAcentral